UUUAAAUACUGUUUCCUUAGAGCAUAUGGAACUCACUAUUUCUAUGCCCCCCCAGAUGAGGAAGAAAAUGAGGAACCACUAGCUAACCUACCUAUUGAAGUUUAUGAGGAUCACAUGGAUCCACAAAACUUGAGUGCAUGAUCAUUCCCGCACUUUGAUGAGUUCAAUAGUAUAGUGAAAGAAGUGGCCCUCUUUUGUAUU
This 201-nucleotide long non-coding RNA is filed under the name Carica papaya (papaya). RNAcentral describes it as "long non-coding RNA (CPAP_LNC006183)". Lineage: Eukaryota; Viridiplantae; Streptophyta; Magnoliopsida; Brassicales; Caricaceae. The record is from RNAcentral.